AUUGGACAUAGGAAGAACCCACAGCCAUGGUUACCUGAUGGUGCCAGAAGAGCACAAUCCUCUUUCACCUUUCCUUGCACGGUUAAUGGUUUUCAUUUGAUUGGGAAAUACUUCUGCAAGGCAUUAUGGAAAAGUCUGCUGGGUGUUUGUCCUGCUCCCUCCCAGGUGGAGGAACCCAAAUACUCCAGCCUUCAGAUACCACAGCCUUGAAUGCCACAGGAUGAGGUGUUCAGCAACACAGAAGCAGGAGAUCAUCAGGGGAAACCUCUUUGUCCAGAUUACACCUGCAUUGAGAUAAGUUUUAAUGAUGAUUUUUUUAGACUGUAGCUGCCAAUUAAGCUCAAGCUAAUGCUAGUAAGAAACUAGAGUAGGUAAUUCAAAUAGACUAUAGAUUUUCUUAAAUUAAUUAGCUCCCAUUGAGGGUUGAACAUAACUAAAAAUAAUUACAUAUGAAUUAUGAAGUUCAAAUAGAAUGUGUUACUUUACUCACACAAAACUUCAAGGGAGACAAAUCAGAGAGGUUUAUUAGCAUAUUCUACUUUUCCAACAAACCUUAGCAGGAAGGGAAAAUAUAAUAAUAUAAAGGAGUUGAAGAUUCAUGUUUCCAUAAUAGCUGUAUCCGCGCUAUCUUACCUGUGAAAUUUAUUCUCUGUGGGUGGUGAUGCUGUUAAAUAGUUAUUAUUUCUUAGCCAUCUUUAUUUUUCCCCCUGUAAGCAGCUCUUUUGUCUAUGUCCAUUAACAUGCAAUCCUCUCCUACCCUGAAAUUUCUUAAGCUGCAUUACACCUGAGCUGGGGGUUUUGCAGGGAGCAAAGGGCAGAACACAAAACUGAUGAUAAAUACACUCCCAAAAAUUCAUUUUUAUUUGAGCUCACUCAUUCUAAUUGUUCUCUUGAGGCUCGAUUUGGAGCACAGAGGAAUCCAAAGGGGGCUCACUGGGCUGUGGGUCAGGUUUUCAGGUCACCUGUACAUGGCAGGUGGUGAAUAAUGAGCAGCACAGUGCCAGCCCCUUGGCCUGACCCUGAGGAUGGAGUAAGAAUUCAGCCACUGAUCUCAUCAAGUGCAGUCUCAGGGAUGCAGCAGAGCACAGCACCCACUUCUCCUGCUGUUGUAAAUGUAGGUGAACC
This is a non-coding RNA of Lonchura striata (white-rumped munia), 1125 nucleotides long. NCBI's taxonomy places the organism in Eukaryota, Metazoa, Chordata, Aves, Passeriformes, Estrildidae. The record is from RefSeq and is a predicted model, not a curated record.